GUGUCAGCAGCCGCGGUAAUACGGAGGAUCCAAGCGUUAUCCGGAUUUACUGGGUUUAAAGGGUGCGUAGGUGGAAUGUCAAGUCAGUGGUGAAAACCUAUAGCUUAACUAUAGAACUGCCAUUGAUACUGUCAUUCUUGAGUGUAUUUGAUGUAAGUGGAAUGUGUCGUGUAGCGGUGAAAUGCUUAGAUAUGACACAGAACACCCAUUGCGAAGGCAGCUUACAAAACUACAACUGACACUGAGGCACGAAAGCGUGGGGAUCAAACAGGAUUAGAUACCCUGGUAGUCC
Molecule: ribosomal RNA, 292 nt
Filed under: uncultured bacterium
Lineage: Bacteria
Description: partial 16S ribosomal RNA
Rfam family: Bacterial small subunit ribosomal RNA
Source: RNAcentral